Molecule: ribosomal RNA, 1397 nt
Filed under: uncultured bacterium
Lineage: Bacteria
Description: bacterial SSU rRNA
Rfam family: Bacterial small subunit ribosomal RNA
Source: RNAcentral
AGAGUUUGAUCCUGGCUCAGGAUGAACGCUAGCUACAGGCUUAACACAUGCAAGUCGAGGGGCAGCAUCAUCAAAGCUUGCUUUGAUGGAUGGCGACCGGCGCACGGGUGAGUAACACGUAUCCAACCUGCCGACAACACUGGGAUAGCCUUUCGAAAGAAAGAUUAAUACCGGAUGGCAUAGUUUUCCCGCAUGGGAUAAUUAUUAAAGAAUUUCGGUUGUCGAUGGGGAUGCGUUCCAUUAGGCAGUUGGCGGGGUAACGGCCCACCAAACCAACGAUGGAUAGGGGUUCUGAGAGGAAGGUCCCCCACAUUGGAACUGAGACACGGUCCAAACUCCUACGGGAGGCAGCAGUGAGGAAUAUUGGUCAAUGGACGAGAGUCUGAACCAGCCAAGUAGCGUGAAGGAUGACUGCCCUAUGGGUUGUAAACUUCUUUUAUACGGGAAUAAAGUUAGCCACGUGUGGCUUUUUGUAUGUACCGUAUGAAUAAGGAUCGGCUAACUCCGUGCCAGCAGCCGCGGUAAUACGGAGGAUCCGAGCGUUAUCCGGAUUUAUUGGGUUUAAAGGGAGCGUAGGCGGGUUGUUAAGUCAGUUGUGAAAGUUUGCGGCUCAACCGUAAAAUUGCAGUUGAUACUGGCGACCUUGAGUGCAACAGAGGUAGGCGGAAUUCGUGGUGUAGCGGUGAAAUGCUUAGAUAUCACGAAGAACUCCGAUUGCGAAGGCAGCUUACUGGAUUGUAACUGACGCUGAUGCUCGAAAGUGUGGGUAUCAAACAGGAUUAGAUACCCUGGUAGUCCACACAGUAAACGAUGAAUACUCGCUGUUGGCGAUAUACAGUCAGCGGCCAAGCGAAAGCAUUAAGUAUUCCACCUGGGGAGUACGCCGGCAACGGUGAAACUCAAAGGAAUUGACGGGGGCCCGCACAAGCGGAGGAACAUGUGGUUUAAUUCGAUGAUACGCGAGGAACCUUACCCGGGCUUAAAUUGCAACUGACUGAACCGGAAACGGUUCUUUCUUCGGACAGUUGUGAAGGUGCUGCAUGGUUGUCGUCAGCUCGUGCCGUGAGGUGUCGGCUUAAGUGCCAUAACGAGCGCAACCCUUAUCGAUAGUUACUAGCAGGUCAUGCUGAGGACUCUAUUGAGACUGCCGUCGUAAGAUGUGAGGAAGGUGGGGAUGACGUCAAAUCAGCACGGCCCUUACGUCCGGGGCUACACACGUGUUACAGUGGGGGGUACAGAAGGCAGCUACACGGCGACGUGGUGCUAAUCCCGAAAGCCUCUCUCAGUUCGGAUUGGAGUCUGCAACCCGACUCCAUGAAGCUGGAUUCGCUAGUAAUCGCGCAUCAGCCACGGCGCGGUGAAUACGUUCCCGGGCCUUGCACUCACCGCCCGUCAAG